RNAcentral lists this ribosomal RNA (495 nucleotides) under uncultured bacterium. RNAcentral describes it as "partial 16S ribosomal RNA". It matches the Rfam family "Bacterial small subunit ribosomal RNA", at positions 28 to 507 of the family's 1533-position model. The record is from RNAcentral.
GACGAACGCUGGCGGCGUGCCUAAUACAUGCAAGUAGAACGCUGAAGGAGGAGCUUGCUUCUCUGGAUGAGUUGCGAACGGGUGAGUAACGCGUAGGUAACCUGCCUGGUAGCGGGGGAUAACUAUUGGAAACGAUAGCUAAUACCGCAUAAUAGUAGAUGUUGCAUGACAUUUGCUUAAAAGGUGCAAUUGCAUCACUACCAGAUGGACCUGCGUUGUAUUAGCUAGUUGGUGAGGUAACGGCUCACCAAGGCGACGAUACAUAGCCGACCUGAGAGGGUGAUCGGCCACACUGGGACUGAGACACGGCCCAGACUCCUACGGGAGGCAGCAGUAGGGAAUCUUCGGCAAUGGACGGAAGUCUGACCGAGCAACGCCGCGUGAGUGAAGAAGGUUUUCGGAUCGUAAAGCUCUGUUGUAAGAGAAGAACGAGUGUGAGAGUGGAAAGUUCACAAUGUGACGGUAUCUUACCAGAAAGGGACGGCUAACUACGUG